GAUCAAUUUUAGGGUUUACCACACUUUAUGAGCUCCCCAGUUUCUCCCAUUUUAGGGUAAUUGAAGUUUCGUAGAUCGCUAGAGAAUUCUGAUAAGAGUCCCUCCGGUUGUUAGCUAUACAGGAGGAUACGAUCCAAAAUUCCGAAGACAAAGGACCUCCGAGGGUUACGGUUUACAGGGAUAAGGAGAUGAGUCGAAGCAGAGGCUUCAGGUUGUGGUAAACCGGGACCAGCCGGUUACAUAGGCGAGUUAGCGGGCGGCGGCUGGUCGUAUUUGUGGUGCUUCGAUUGCUCACGAUAAGAAGAAGACAUGUCUGCGCCGGAGAGUCCUCUUGUCCCUGCAGCUCCCACGAAGAAACCCAAACCCGUCUUAGACAGAAGUCGCGGUCCUCCUUUUAAUAUCGAAGCAAGGUUUCCAAGUGAAGCUUAUCCUAUUGAAGCAAUCAUCGAAAACGAAGAAUUGGACUUCCUUCUAGAUAUUUACUAGUAGGCUUCUGCAGAAGGAAGAUGGACCUGCGACCGACAUCGACGGUUACCCCCUAUUUGUGCGCAACAGAUUAUACACCUUGAAAGAUAUCAAGGACGAGUUUGAGAAGCAGAUGGUUUCUGGUAUCUUAUCACUCCUGACCCAUCUGAUUAGGUUUAAGGAAUUGAGUUCGCCUGAAUCGAGCAUUUCCACUCUUGCUAAGAACCAUCUUUUGCCUAGUAGGAUCUAUCAGAAAUGUGUGACAUUGUUCCGUAAUAGAAGAUCCCUCAGCCCCACGAUACCUGCUGCUAAACUCAAACAUCUGAUAAAGUACGUUCUUGUGCUCACCCUACAUGUGGAUAAGUUCAAGACCGACCCAGAAGACAUAGCUAAAGAUCUGGGCUUGAGUACAUCAGCACUGAGGACGUAUUUUAAGGAACUUGGCUGCAUAUUCGUGUGUGAGGAAUCGAUUGCACUUGCCACCUUACCAGUGCCUCUCAAGCUUGGGGUAAAGAAGAGAAGACAUGAUUCAUGAUGACGAUCGUGGACAAGAGUUGUUAGAGUUUCCCCAUGUUUUUUUCUUUUGGUUUUAUUUGGCUGUCGAGAUAUUAUUAAAAAGCAAAGCUUCUUUUUUAAAAAAGAGACAUUGUUUCGUUGGUUUA
Molecule: long non-coding RNA, 1127 nt
Organism: Camelina sativa (false flax)
Lineage: Eukaryota; Viridiplantae; Streptophyta; Magnoliopsida; Brassicales; Brassicaceae
Source: RefSeq, a predicted model, not a curated record